CAUGUUGUAGCUUAAUUAAAGCAUUAAAUUUUUAAUUUAAGGAUAAGAUAUAUCUUUUACGUGA
This 64-nucleotide transfer RNA is filed under the name Ashinkailepas seepiophila. RNAcentral describes it as "tRNA-Lys". It matches the Rfam family "tRNA". Rfam says of the family: Transfer RNA (tRNA) molecules are approximately 80 nucleotides in length. Their secondary structure includes four short double-helical elements and three loops (D, anti-codon, and T loops). The record is from RNAcentral. Lineage: Eukaryota; Metazoa; Arthropoda; Thecostraca; Neolepadidae.